RNAcentral lists this non-coding RNA (257 nucleotides) under Pseudohongiella spirulinae. The record is from RNAcentral. Lineage: Bacteria; Pseudomonadati; Pseudomonadota; Gammaproteobacteria; Pseudomonadales; Pseudohongiellaceae.
UAAGGUGGCCUCGCUUCAGGUGUUUACUGUCUAUCGGGAUAGAGAGUCAGUAAAUGAAACGGGAAGUCGGUGCGGCCAUAUGAUAGCCAGCCAAUUCCGACGCUGCCCCCGCAACGGUAGGCAAGUCAGUGCAGUCUCAAUGCCACUGUCCAGGUGCAUGCAUCAUGCGCCAGGAUGGGAAGGCGACUCGCACAAGGUCAGCUUUUGACAGCGGCCAGCUUGCAAGCCCGGAGACCGGCCUGCUGCAAGUGAACGCG